GACGAACGCUGGCGGCAUGCCUAAUACAUGCAAGUCGAGCGAUCAGAUGAAGUGCUUGCACUUCUGACGUUAGCGGCGAACGGGUGAGUAACACGUAAGGAAUCUACCUAUAAGCGGGGGAUAACAUUCGGAAACGGGUGCUAAUACCGCAUAAUAUCUUCUUCCGCAUGGAAGAAGAUUGAAAGACGGCUCUGCUGUCACUUAUAGAUGACCUUGCGGUGCAUUAGUUAGUUGGGGGGGUAACGGCCUACCAAGACGAUGAUGCAUAGCCGACCUGAGAGGGUGAUCGGCCACAUUGGGACUGAGACACGGCCCAAACUCCUACGGGAGGCAGCAGUAGGGAAUCUUCCGCAAUGGGCGAAAGCCUGACGGAGCAAUGCCGCGUGAGUGAAGAAGGCCUUCGGGUCGUAAAACUCUGUUAUAAGAGAAGAACAAAUUGUAGAGUAACUGCUACAGUCUUGACGGUAUCUUAUCAGAAAGCCACGGCUAACUACGUGCCAGCAGCCGCAGUAA
Molecule: ribosomal RNA, 513 nt
Filed under: uncultured bacterium
Lineage: Bacteria
Description: partial 16S ribosomal RNA
Rfam family: Bacterial small subunit ribosomal RNA
Source: RNAcentral